Molecule: long non-coding RNA, 482 nt
Filed under: Equus caballus (horse)
Lineage: Eukaryota; Metazoa; Chordata; Mammalia; Perissodactyla; Equidae
Description: lncRNA (ENSECAG00000051826.1)
Source: RNAcentral
GAAAGAGAAGGGAUGGAAGUGAAAUGUUACAAGCGUUUAUGAAGAAAGAAGUAAUAGACGUAUUCAUUAUCUUGAUUUUGGAGAUGGAUAUAUACGUGUGACAAAACUUAUCAAAUUGUAUACCUAAACAGUGCAUUUUGUGCUGACGAUAAUUCAUCAAGUAAAAUGAAGAUAUAGAAUCCUUGGACAUACCACUGUGGAGAUCUGGACAGAAAAGUGGGGAGGAGCUUGACUACAUAAUGUUCAAGAGAGAAAGAUAACCAUCAACCAAUUUUGUCCUAAGCAACUUGGAGUGCUUCCCCACCGUUCUGAGGGCUGCCAUCACACUUUCUCCAACAAGAUUUGAGUUCCAGCUUGGGGAAGAGGACCCCUUCUUUUGGAAAUCCUCCUUAGCUCUCAGAUUUUUUUAGAGUUCUAUUUUUUCUUGAGAGUUACACCUCUGUUAUAGCUAGUAAUUCUUUAUAUUAAACUUUCCCUGUUCA